RNAcentral lists this ribosomal RNA (253 nucleotides) under uncultured bacterium. RNAcentral's name for it is "partial 16S ribosomal RNA". It matches the Rfam family "Bacterial small subunit ribosomal RNA", at positions 524 to 776 of the family's 1533-position model. The record is from RNAcentral.
UACGAAGGGGGCUAGCGUGGCUCGGAAUCACUGGGCGUAAAGCGCACGUAGGCGGCUUUCUAAGUCAGGGGUGAAAUCCUGGAGCUCAACUCCAGAACUGCCUUUGAUACUGGAGAGCUUGAGUCCGGAAGAGGUGAGUGGAACUCCGAGUGUAGAGGUGAAAUUCGUAGAUAUUCGGAAGAACACCAGUGGCGAAGGCGGCUCACUGGUCCGGUACUGACGCUGAUGUGCGAAAGCGUGGGGAGCAAACAGG